UGCGGAAUUUUAGAUAAUGGAGGGAACUCUGAUCUAGCGACGCCGCGUGCAGGAAGAAGGUCUUCGGAUUGUAAACUGCUGUGGUAAGGGAAAAAUGCUAUGUAGAGUGGAAAGCUACAUAGAGGGAUGGUACCUAACUAGAGAGCCCCGGCUAACUACGUGCAGCAGCCGCGGUAAUACGUAGGGGGCGAGCGUUACCCGGAAUCACUGGGCGUAAAGGGAGCGUAGGUGGCCUAACAUGUCAACUGUGAAAACCCGGAGCUCAACUCCGGACUUGCAGUUGAAACUGGUAGGCUUGAGGACGGUAGAGGAAGACGGAACUGCCAGUGUAGGGGUAAAAUCCUUAGAUAUUGGCAGGAACGCCGGUGACGAAGGUGGUUUUCUGGGCCGGUUCUGACACUGAUGCUCGAAAGCCAGGGGAGCGAACGG
This 429-nucleotide ribosomal RNA is filed under the name uncultured bacterium. RNAcentral describes it as "bacterial SSU rRNA". It matches the Rfam family "Bacterial small subunit ribosomal RNA", at positions 355 to 775 of the family's 1533-position model. The record is from RNAcentral.